AACCUGCGGAGGGAUCAUUACUGAGUGAGGGCUCACGCCCGACCUCCAACCCUUUGUGAACCAAACUUGUUGCUUCGGGGGCGACCCUGCCGACGACUCCGUCGCCGGGCGCCCCCGGAGGUCUCCUAAACACUGCAUCUUUGCGUCGGAGUUUAAAACAAAUUAAACAAAACUUUCAACAACGGAUCUCUUGGUUCUGGCAUCGAUGAAGAACGCAGCGAAAUGCGAUAAGUAAUGUGAAUUGCAGAAUUCAGUGAAUCAUCGAAUCUUUGAACGCACAUUGCGCCCUUUGGUAUUCCGAAGGGCAUGCCUGUUCGAGCGUCAUUUCACCACUCAAGCCUGGCUUGGUAUUGGGCGUCGCGGUGUUUCCGCGCGCCUUAAAGUCUUCCGGCUGAGCUGUCCGUCUCUAAGCGUUGUGGAUUUUUCAAUUCGCUUCGGAGUGCGGGCGGCCGCGGCCGUUAAAUCUUUAUUCAAAGGUUGACCUCGGAUCAAGUAGGGAUA
Molecule: ribosomal RNA, 501 nt
Filed under: Pseudocercospora eupatoriella
Lineage: Eukaryota; Fungi; Ascomycota; Dothideomycetes; Mycosphaerellales; Mycosphaerellaceae
Description: eukaryotic LSU rRNA
Rfam family: 5.8S ribosomal RNA (bases 171-324)
Source: RNAcentral